Molecule: ribosomal RNA, 460 nt
Filed under: uncultured bacterium
Lineage: Bacteria
Description: partial 16S ribosomal RNA
Rfam family: Bacterial small subunit ribosomal RNA
Source: RNAcentral
CCUACGGGUGGCAGCAGUGAGGAAUAUUGGUCAAUGGGCUUACGCCUGAACCAGCCAAGUCGCGUGAGGGAAGACUGCCCUCUGGGGUGUACACCUCUUUUGUCAGGGAGCAACGCCGGCUACGUGUAGCCGGACUGAGAGUCCCUGAAGACAAAGCAUCAGCUAACUCCGUGCCAGCAGCCGCGGUAAUCCGGAGGAUGCGAGCGUUAUCCGGAUUUAUUUGGUUUAAAGGGUGCGUAGGCGGAAUGCCAAGUCAGCGGGAAAAUAGCGGGGCUCAACCUCUCUCCGCCGUUGACACUGGCGUUCUGGAGUGGGCGAGAAGUAUGCGGAAUGCGUGGUGUAGCGGUGAAAGGCAUAGAUAUCACGCAGAACUCCGAUUGCGAAGGCAGCAUACCGGCGCCCAACUGACGCUGAAGCACGAAAGCGUGGGUAUCGAACAGGAUUAGAUACCCUAGUAGUC